Molecule: long non-coding RNA, 1393 nt
Organism: Leopardus geoffroyi (Geoffroy's cat)
Lineage: Eukaryota; Metazoa; Chordata; Mammalia; Carnivora; Felidae
Exons: 3
Source: RefSeq, a predicted model, not a curated record
CGGGGAGAGGGUUGCGGCUCGGCGCCGGGGCCGCCUCCGCGCGCCCCGCCCGCCCGCCGCCCGCUUAACCCUUUCCAGGACCCCGGGACUUCCUGCCGAGAUGCGGGCUGCAGGCGUGGAGGGCGGCGCCACCUGUCCCCACGACGGCCCCACGGCCGAGGCUGGGCCCCAGCUGCGCCCCGGUAUUCCAGGAUAAAAGACAAAAACGUUGCGAACGCUCAGAGGAAACUGCUGAACUUUGUUCUUCUGUCUGGAAGUGUGGCCUCAACCAUCUCCGGCUCCCUGCAGCUCGGACCUGGCAUAGGGCCACGGGGGGGACCCUCUGGACCUCACCGAGAACUUGAAGUGUUAGCUCCACAAAGCCAGUGGACAAGGGAGACACUUCCUCUGACUUCAGCCGCUUUUUAGUCCUACAUACAGCUGCUUCCUGCCCAGCCUUUGCCGGUUUCAUACACUGCGAGGCUUUUGGAUUUCAGCGCCAGAGCUAACACCCUGAGAACAUCCUUAAAAAACGUUUUCAUUCUGCCAAGUGGAAUACUUUACCUCGGGAUUUGGAUCAAAGGAAGCAGAAACCAAGCAAACUACUGGGAUGUAUAUUUUUAAAUUAUCAGUUAACCAUACCAGAAGCAGAUCUUUUGGGGGCUGAACUCCUUCCCAUCAGGCUCCAUUUUUGUUUUGUUCUCUUUACUCCAAAAACAUUCCAAAAUCUACUGGGCUCUUUUUUCGCAGAUGUUCUGUUCACCUUCACAUGGAGACUGUGUGUCACUAGCUCACCCAGCUCCAUUGGCUUAAAGAUGCCUGGAGUGGAGUUUUAAACUUAUUUCCCAGCAAUGCCUCCAUCCCUCACACCCCCAUUCUUUCAGGGGAAGCUUUAGGCUGACCCACAGCUUUAUAGCCUCAUCCACGUCUCCCACCCACUUUUGUGGAUUAGAAUCCAGUGGCCCCUAAGUUUUCCCCAACCAAAGGUGGAGUACUGACCUGUCUUCUCUACCGCUCUCCAAACUUCCAGAGAUCAGGUACGUCGCAUUUAACUUUUCUUCCCGCGGGAUCUUACUAUGCUUGCCAUAUACUAGGUUCUUAGUAAAUGUUUACUGAAUGAGCGAAAAAGUAAAUGAAUUAACUUAAAAUAUUCAUCCAACCCAUAUGCCAUCUGGUAGAUAAGGUGUGUGGGGAACCCCAUCCCUUUUCAGACUUUACAUGUUUUAUUUUUAAAAACGUACUGUGGUCCCAAUAUGGCCAAUGGAAAUUGCCGGGGAACGAUCCAUGCAUUUAAUUAGGAAGUCAUUCAAACUACAGGGACAUCCAGAGUCCCUGAAGUCAAACAUGGGAUCCAACAAUACCCAGAAGAAGAAGGACUUGUCAUAAACAUUAAAUAAUGUCCAUUCCAACAGUA